This is a long non-coding RNA of Prinia subflava (tawny-flanked prinia), 567 nucleotides long. RefSeq lists it as uncharacterized. The transcript has 5 exons. The record is from RefSeq and is a predicted model, not a curated record. Lineage: Eukaryota; Metazoa; Chordata; Aves; Passeriformes; Cisticolidae.
GGAGGGAGGAGCCCGUGGGGGUGGGAACGGGAGCAGGCAGGGUGAGAUAUAACCGGGAGGAGCGGGCGAGGAGCAGCGUGAGGAUCCUCCGGUGCUCACACCCCCACCGAGGAGCUGCUUCUUCCCAGCCUUGCCCGAGCAAAAAUUGUUGCUGUGACUCUUGCUACACAUUAACUGGGAGAAAAAUAAAAGAGUGAACCUUGAAAAAAGGAAACAGGAGACAAGAAAGAAGGACAUGGCUCAAUUUCUUUUUGGAAAGGCGGCUGUAAGCUUUCUGGCUGCAAGUGCUGUAGAAAUGGCAUUCAACGCAUUAAAAAGGAGAAAGAAGGAGCAGACCAGAAAAGCUGUGGAAUGUAAGAUAGAUGAAGCCUUCCAGAAGCUUGAGUUAAAAAUAAAGGCCUUGCAGGAAUCUUUCACAAAAUUGCGGGAGUCCAGACAGUGUGAGCUGCAUGACCUCAGAGCAAACCUGGAGAAACAAGGUGAGCAGGGCCAUUGCCAAGCAGGCUUUCAUCCAUCUGAAGACAGCAGCUGCUGUGCAGGCCAACUGGGCUGUGAGCUCACCCUGCU